UUGCAGCCCAGCCGGUCUCAGCCUUAUUUUACCCAGCCCCUAUUCAAGAUGGAGGCACUCUGGUUCAAACGCCUCUGACAAUUACAUUUAAAUAGAAUUUAAAAUUUAGUUUCACAGCCACACUAGCUACAUUUGAAGAGCUCAGUCACUAUAUGUGGCUAGUGGCUAUGAUCUGAGGCAGCAUAGACUAUCUAGGAAAUUCCCAUCAUUGCAUAAAGGUCUAUUGAAUGGCACUUAUUUAGAUGAAGAAGUCACAUAGUCUGAGGAGCUGGAAAUCUAAUCUGCCUUCUUUAAAUGUAACAUGUAGAAGUUGGUCGAAUCCAAAGAUGGGGAGCCUGUGGAUACUGAAGGCCAACUGUACUACAGGGUUAGAAGCAUAAGUCAGUGGAAGACAGAAGAGGCCAAUCUGCUUCUCCAUCAACCCAUUAGGCAAUGACAAAACUGCAACAAUACUGAGCUGAGAAAAGGGAAGUAGCUGCAACUUAAAUAAUCUUCGAACUUUUAAUUCU
This 509-nucleotide long non-coding RNA is filed under the name Homo sapiens (human). RNAcentral's name for it is "HSALNT0313249". Lineage: Eukaryota; Metazoa; Chordata; Mammalia; Primates; Hominidae. The record is from RNAcentral.